AAGCAAACUUUACCAAACUCAAGUGCUCUGCCCAAUGACCUCCUCAAUCCAAGACACACAUCUGCAACAUAUCCUCAAGCGUCUGAAUAGUCCUCUUAGAUUGCCCAUUUGUCUGUGGAUGAUAAGCCGUGCUUAUCUGCACCUUAGUGCUCAUCUCUGCCUGAAAGGCUCUCCAAAAUGCAGAAGUAAACAUGAAAUCCCUGUCUGACACAAUACUCACAGGUACUCCAUGCAACUUCACGAUCUUGCUCACAUAUUUCUUCGCCAACACUGCCGCUCCAUCGGUUUUUCUGAUGGCCAGAAAAUGUGUUGAUUUAGUCAGACGGUCCACGAUCACCCAAAUAGAAUCUUUAGUUCGCGACACAUGCAAUCCAACCACGAAAUCA
RNAcentral lists this small RNA (386 nucleotides) under Arabidopsis thaliana (thale cress). Its description in RNAcentral is "ATSL097570". The record is from RNAcentral. Lineage: Eukaryota; Viridiplantae; Streptophyta; Magnoliopsida; Brassicales; Brassicaceae.